Molecule: ribosomal RNA, 325 nt
Filed under: Staphylococcus sp.
Lineage: Bacteria; Bacillati; Bacillota; Bacilli; Caryophanales; Staphylococcaceae
Description: bacterial SSU rRNA
Rfam family: Bacterial small subunit ribosomal RNA
Source: RNAcentral
GAUUUGGGCUACACACGUGCUACAAUGGACAAUACAAAGGGCAGCGAAACCGCGAGGUCAAGCAAAUCCCAUAAAGUUGUUCUCAGUUCGGAUUGUAGUCUGCAACUCGACUAUAUGAAGCUGGAAUCGCUAGUAAUCGUAGAUCAGCAUGCUACGGUGAAUACGUUCCCGGGUCUUGUACACACCGCCCGUCACACCACGAGAGUUUGUAACACCCGAAGCCGGUGGAGUAACCAUUUGGAGCUAGCCGUCGAAGGUGGGACAAAUGAUUGGGGUGAAGUCGUAACAAGGUAGCCGUAUCGGAAGGUGCGGUUGGAUCACCUCC